CCUGUGUGUUUUGUUUACAGACUUCAGUCUUGGGAUUGUAGUGAGGGAAUCUUUCCUUUCUCCUUCUGCAUUAACAGGGGAGGGGACUGUUUAUCCCUGAGAAAGGGUACUGGAGCGUUUUAUGUUGUGUAUCCUUUGGACUAGUUUUGUUUGCCCUGGAAGGGGAGGGCUUUAUAGUUUGGUUGAAGGGGUAAUUGAUCUACCACAAAAGAAAUUGAAGGAUGGAUGCAAUUUGACAGAGGAAAGGUAAUUGGACUUCUCAGGAGGGGCUCUUCAGGAAUGCUGCCUCUGGAUGCAUCUUCGGGUCCCCAGAGGCCGACGGAAGCCUGGCCAGCUGAAGCCUGUCAUGGUGCCACUCAAAAGCCAUGCUCAGCUUUGAUUCUUGAAUGUGGACAUUUCAGAAGACCGUGAGUAGGAAAUACUUGGAAUGACAUCUUGGGGAACUUGGAUGUGGUCCAUGUGUCUGGUAUGUUUUGUUUAUAUUAAGGUUUGACUUCCAGGACCCACUAUGGGGAUGGUGGCUGCCUAGCUUUACAAGCUACCUUCCCUAUCUCUUAAAUCGACAAGCAUCAGCAAUUAAAUCGCUUUUUUAUUUAAUCUAAUGCUCAGACAUUAUUGUACUAUUCUUUUCUCCUAAUUUGAUGCCAUUAUGGAUGUUUCUUCAUCACCAGACUUCCCACAAAAUCCUAAAAAAGAGAUGCUGUCAGACAGCCCUCCUGCAGCCAAGAUGGCUGAUCAGGGAGAACUUGCCCCUCUGAGGCUAGAGUGAAACUAUGUCUAAAAAAAACUCAAGAGAGCAAACUAUUUUGAGGAAAAAUAUCUGAAGAUCCAACAAAUUACUAGAACGCAUCAAGCUAAUUUGCAAGGCUUGGCAUCAAGACUAGAAGAAGCUGAGAACAGAAUCUUCUUGCUAGAAGUCAUAAUGAACACCUCAGAGCAACUGACAAGUGCUAUUGAAACACUGUAGGAGAAGGUUAAUAUCAAAAGGAUGAUCAAGGAUAAACAAUCUGAGAGUUUUCCAGCCGUUCCGGGUUGGAAAAAAGGAAAGGCCUGUGAAAUUUUUAGCCAUGAUAUUGCCUGUGCUUUUGUCUCUCUUCCCUGAUGAGAACUUCGAUAUUGAGAGAGCCAACCACACCCUAGCACACCUGAUUGCAAAGCCCCAGCCCAUAAUUGUAAGAUAUUUUUAAAAUAUAGUAUUCAGGAACUCAUUCUUUAAAAAGCCUGUGAACUUAAAUGUCUAGCAUGAUAGGGACACAGGCUGACGAUUUUCCUGGAUUACAGCUAGGAUGUGAUGGAAAAGAGGACUAAAUUCAAUAGCUCAAGAGCCCUAGCCAAAAGGUUUAGACUACUUUAUUUCCUUCCCCGCUCCUUUCAAAGUUAAACAGGAGGCCAAGAUGUUGAGUUUUAUGACAGCAGAGGAAGCUGCAAGGUAUCUGAUCCCACUACGUCAAAAGACCCCUACAGAAUAUGCAGAUGGGAUGUAUUAAAACAACUUUACCAGAUCAGGGCUGGAAUUCAGCUCUCCAUUUAGCAACAAUGGUACAGAGCCAACACAAUAUUUUGUCUCCACCCUUGUGCUUGUUUCCUUUCUUUGAACUUCCCCAGCUUCCCCAACAGAGGGAGCCAGCUGAGGAGCAAAGGGGUGGGGAAGAGGAUCUCCUCUUCGAUUUGAGGUCUGGCCCUCCAUCUGGAUGCAGGAAAUAGUUAUGAGCUCCUCCUGGUGUUAGCAGGUUGGAGUGUUACAGUAUUGACACAGCUACUUUGCUUGCAUCUACCUUACCUUGCCUCCCCAUGAUUCCAGUGCACAGGAAGCAUCUACCCUACUCCCUUGUGAUUCCAGUGCGCCAGGAGCACAUCCACCUUUGAGAUCCUGACUCCAAGCAAAUCGCUUAGCUAGACCUGGGGACUCGUUACACCUGUGGAUCGGCAAGGCCUUUUUAUCUGAGGCACUCUCCCUCCAGGGAUCUUUUCCAACUCCUCUCUCUCUCUUCCUCCUCCCUACUCACCCUCAAUGACUUUACUUUGUUUCAACCCAAAUUCUAGGAAAUUAGGUGGGGAUAACAGUAUUCCUGGAAACAGUCAACUCAUUUGCUCUAAAUGUACAGUACACUUACAAGAGAUACCAGAUUUAACCUGAGAUCAUCAUUAAACAAUGUAAUGAAGGACUCUGUUCAAUUCCUCAACUGUAAAGAAAUCUGAUCUCCCCCUAAAAUCCUAUUCAAGAAUAAUUAUCGCUGGUUAUGCUUCA
Long non-coding RNA from Mauremys reevesii (Reeves's turtle), 2248 nucleotides. RefSeq lists it as uncharacterized. The record is from RefSeq and is a predicted model, not a curated record. Lineage: Eukaryota; Metazoa; Chordata; Testudines; Geoemydidae. The transcript is spliced from 3 exons.